RNAcentral lists this ribosomal RNA (253 nucleotides) under uncultured bacterium. Its description in RNAcentral is "partial 16S ribosomal RNA". It matches the Rfam family "Bacterial small subunit ribosomal RNA", at positions 524 to 776 of the family's 1533-position model. The record is from RNAcentral.
UACGUAGGGUGCGAGCGUUAAUCGGAAUUACUGGGCGUAAAGCGUGCGUAGGCGGUUUCGCAAGUCCGCUGUGAAAGCCCCGGGCUCAACCUGGGAACGGCAGUGGAAACUAGGAGACUUGAAUCUGGCAGAGGGGGGUGGAAUGCCACGUGUAGCAGUGAAAUGCGUAGAGAUGUGGCGGAACACCGAUGGCGAAGGCAGCCCCCUGGGCUGAGAUUGACGCUGAGGCACGAAAGCGUGGGGAGCAAACAGG